Molecule: long non-coding RNA, 209 nt
Filed under: Solanum tuberosum (potato)
Lineage: Eukaryota; Viridiplantae; Streptophyta; Magnoliopsida; Solanales; Solanaceae
Description: long non-coding RNA (STUB_LNC001154)
Source: RNAcentral
CAGCUGGAAUUAGUUUUAUUAUUCUCACAACAUACUCAGAAUUACAUAACAAGUAACGUUGAAAUGAAAAUACAGUAAACUUAGGAGAAUCAAACAUACAGAAAUGAAAGAGAUCACACUUAACAUAAAUGAAAAUUUAUUUCAAACUCUAGCUUUCUUCAUUUUCCUUCUUCUAUAUUGACACACUGUUGGGAAUUCCUUUGCCUNNN